UGGAGUCUGUCCAGUGUAACCCUGAUUUCCCGGCUGGCUCUCAGCAGUUUCCCGCUUUCUCUAGCACCCUGGGAAGCCAGAACAUUUUGAGGCUUCUUCAGAUAUCACUCGUUCUUCGCACGAACUUGGAUAAAUCACUGGUUCUUCCUCACCCUGAGCUGCCCCAUGUGUGGAGUGCAGCUGUGAUGCGUGGAAUCCGCGUGAGUGUUGGUACCACUUGCAUAUGUAAGGGACUCAAUGGUUUUUUGCAAUGGCUCACACAUAGGAACAAGUCAACACCGACAACUGACUGCACUGUGAUGAAGAAGCUGCUGCCUUGAGUACAUGGGCACUGGGAAGUGAAGAUUGGCUUGUCAUGCUCCCCUUUCCUGUGUCAUCUAUGUGGUCAGUGUUGCACAUGCUGAAGUGAUAAGGUGUACAGCCGGGAGCAAAGCAGGAGGUGAACCUAAAGAAGCUGCUUGUGCAGAAAGUAAGGAUGUGCUCAAAAUCUGACAAGUCAGUCUGUGAGCACAGGAGCCAGACUGAAGGAGCAGUGAGUGGAGACUGCAGGGUGGAGGUGUGGGUCCUGCAGAAGAGUGAUCCAGGUAGAACAGCGUCCUCCCGGGAAGCACAGAUGCUGCUGUGAGCUCAAGGAGAAGUAGAGGGCCAGGGAAGCUGGACUGAGAAAGCAAAGUGCAAAACAUUCAUUCAACAGCUGUCAGAGAGGUUCUGGGGACCCCACACGAAGGGCCUGUGAUCCACUCCUGAGGACGUGGAUGUCAACUCUGAGUGCUGGGAAGCUGAUGGUGGAUUGUGAUCGAAGAGCCCCGCUGGCCUGACUCAUAUUUGGAAAGGACCACACUGGUGAGUGUGUCAAGAGUCAACCUUGCAUUAGGGGGACAUGCAGGCAGGGGAGGGAGGCCAUUGCUGUCUUUCAGGCCAUAAAAGGUGGUGGCCCGGGUCAGGAAGGUACCUUGCAAGGAGUCACACUGUGCAGGCAGAGGCAGCAAGGUUCCCUGUGGGCUUUGAGUGACGUAGAUGAGACGGGGUGGAGGAAGGUGUCCACAGCAACACUGUGGAGGUGACACUCAGCAGGCCCUGGGGUGGGCUUCGGUCCAGACGUACC
RNAcentral lists this long non-coding RNA (1105 nucleotides) under Chinchilla lanigera (long-tailed chinchilla). Its description in RNAcentral is "lncRNA (ENSCLAG00000026271.1)". The record is from RNAcentral. Lineage: Eukaryota; Metazoa; Chordata; Mammalia; Rodentia; Chinchillidae.